CACAUUGGGAACUGAAGAUACGUCCAGACUCUACGGAAGCAGCAGUACGAACUUUUACAAUGACCGAAGGUCUGAUGAGGCAUGCGCGGUGAGGUGAUGACGUCCUCGAUGUAAAGCUCUGUUGUAAGGAAGAAAUACUAGAAGAGGAAAUGCUUUUAGUUUGACGUACGUACCAGAAAGCCACGGCUAACUAUGUGCCAGCAGCCGCGGUAAUACAUAGGUGGCAAGCGUUAUCCGGAUUUAUUGGGCGUAUAGGGUGCGUAGGCGGUUAGUUAAGUUUGAGGUCAAAGCCCGGGGCUCAACCCCGGUUCGCCUUGAAAACUGGCUGACUAGAAUACAGGAGAGGUAGAUGGAAUUCCAUGUGUAGCGGUGAAAUGCGUAGAUAUAUGGAGGAACACCAGUGGCGUAGGCGGUCUACUGGCCUGUUAUUGACGCUGAGGCACGAAAGCGUGGGGAGCAAAUAGGAUUAGAUACCCUAGUAGUCCACGCCGUAAACGUUGAGUACUAAGUGUCGGCAUUAUGUCGGUGCUGCAGCUAACGCAUUAAAUACUCCGCCUGAGUAGUAUGCUCGCAAGAGUGAAACUCAAAGGAAUUGACGGGGACCCGCACAAGUGGUGGAGCAUGUGGUUUAAUUCGAAGCAACGCGAAGAACCUUACCAGGGCUUGACAUCCAGUGCAAAGCUACAGAGAUGUAGUGGAGGUUAACAUUGAGACAGGUGGUGCAUGGUUGUCGUCAGCUCGUGCCGUGAGGUGUUGGGUUAAGUCCCGCAACGAGCGCAACCCUUAUCAUUAGUUACUAACAUUCAGUUGAGCACUCUAAUGAGACUGCUAGUGUAAGCUAGAGGAAGGUGGGGAUGACGUCAAAUCAUCAUGCCCCUUAUGUCCUGGGCUACACACGUGCUACAAUGGCUGGUACAAAGAGUUGCAAUCCCGCGAGGGGGAGCUAAUCUCAAAAAGCCAGUCUCAGUUCGGAUUGAAGUCUGCAACUCGACUUCAUGAAGCCGGAAUCACUAGUAAUCGCGAAUCAGCAAUGUCGCGGUGAAUACGUUCUCGGGUCUUGUACACACCGCCCGUCACACCAUGAGAGUUGGUAAUACCAGAAGUAUGUAUCUUAACCGCAAGGAGGGAGCGUACCAAGGUAGGACUAGCGAUUAGGGUGAAGUCGUAACAAGGUAACCGUAA
This 1182-nucleotide ribosomal RNA is filed under the name uncultured Spiroplasma sp. Its description in RNAcentral is "bacterial SSU rRNA". It matches the Rfam family "Bacterial small subunit ribosomal RNA", at positions 309 to 1505 of the family's 1533-position model. Lineage: Bacteria; Bacillati; Mycoplasmatota; Mollicutes; Entomoplasmatales; Spiroplasmataceae. The record is from RNAcentral.